CUGGCGGCGUGCUUAACACAUGCAAGUCGAACGGAAAGGCCCUUUCGGGGGUACUCGAGUGGCGAACGGGUGAGUAACACGUGGGUGAUCUGCCCUGCACUUUGGGAUAAGCCUGGGAAACUGGGUCUAAUACCGGAUAGGACUACGCACUGCAUGGUGUGUGGUGGAAAGCUUUUGCGGUGUGGGAUGGGCCCGCGGCCUAUCAGCUUGUUGGUGGGGUGAUGGCCUACCAAGGCGACGACGGGUAGCCGGCCUGAGAGGGUGUCCGGCCACACUGGGACUGAGAUACGGCCCAGACUCCUACGGGAGGCAGCAGUGGGGAAUAUUGCACAAUGGGCGCAAGCCUGAUGCAGCGACGCCGCGUGGGGGAUGACGGCCUUCGGGUUGUAAACCUCUUUCAGUAUCGGCGAAGCUCCCGCAUUUUUGUGGGGGUGACGGUAGGUACAGAAGAAGCACCGGCCAACUACGUGCCAGCAGCCGCGGUAAUAC
Molecule: ribosomal RNA, 489 nt
Filed under: Mycobacterium sp. FI-07089
Lineage: Bacteria; Bacillati; Actinomycetota; Actinomycetes; Mycobacteriales; Mycobacteriaceae
Description: bacterial SSU rRNA
Rfam family: Bacterial small subunit ribosomal RNA
Source: RNAcentral